Molecule: ribosomal RNA, 270 nt
Filed under: uncultured bacterium
Lineage: Bacteria
Description: partial 16S ribosomal RNA
Rfam family: Bacterial small subunit ribosomal RNA
Source: RNAcentral
AGUGAACGCUGGCGGCAGGCCUAACACAUGCAAGUCGAGCGGCAGCGCGGGGCAACCUGGCGGCGAGCGGCGGACGGGUGAGGAAUGCAUCGGAAUCUACCCUGUCGUGGGGGACAACGUAGGGAAACUUACGCUAAUACCGCAUGAUCUGGAGACAGCAAAGCCGGGGACCCGCAAGGGCCUGGCGCGAUGGGAUGAGCCGAUGCCCGAUUAGCUAGUUGGCGGGGUAAGAGCCCACCAAGGCGACGAUCGGUAGCUGGUCUGAGAGGA